RNAcentral lists this long non-coding RNA (224 nucleotides) under Mytilus galloprovincialis (Mediterranean mussel). The record is from RNAcentral. Lineage: Eukaryota; Metazoa; Mollusca; Bivalvia; Mytilida; Mytilidae.
UGUUUUUAUGCCCAACCUACAGAAGAGCAUUAUGUGUUCUGGUCUGUGUGUCCGUCUGUUCGUUUGUUUGUUCGUCUGUUCAUCCAUCUGUCUGUGCGUCCGUCUGUCCGGCUUCAGGUUUAAGUUUUUGGUCAAGGUAGUUUUUGAUGAAGCUGAAGUCCAAUCAACUUGAAACUUAGCACACUUGUUGCUUAUGAUAUAAACUUUUUCUUAAACUAUUGGCA